AGCCCAUUGGCGCAAUGGUAGCGCGUUCGCCUCCUAUCUAGGAUCUAGCGAAAGGCUGUGGGUUCGAGUCCCAUGUGGGUUG
Zalaria obscura is the source of this 82-nucleotide non-coding RNA. The record is from the annotation of a GenBank genome assembly. Lineage: Eukaryota; Fungi; Ascomycota; Dothideomycetes; Dothideales; Zalariaceae.